This is a long non-coding RNA of Trematomus bernacchii (emerald rockcod), 549 nucleotides long. RefSeq lists it as uncharacterized. The record is from RefSeq and is a predicted model, not a curated record. NCBI's taxonomy places the organism in Eukaryota, Metazoa, Chordata, Actinopteri, Perciformes, Nototheniidae. The transcript is spliced from 4 exons.
CUGUCUCUGAACCCUCAGAAAGACGAGACUCUAGAAAACAGAGAAGGCUCAAUAUGUGCUUCCUGACGGGAGCACGCUGAACAUUGGUCCAGCCUGCUUCAGAGCUCCAGAGCUUCUCUUCAGACCCGAUCUGAUUGGAGACGAGUCCUCUGGGAUUCACGAGGUUUUGGCGUACGCCAUCCAGAAGUCUGACAUGGACCUGAGACGCACGCUGCACUCCACCAUCGUGCACCCUCAUCAAAGAUCUCUGCUCCUCAGGAGAGGCUGUACUCCACAUGGAUCGGAGGCUCCAUCCUGGCGUCGUUGGACACCUUUAAGAAGAUAUGGGUUUCAAAGCGUGAAUAUGAAGAAGACAGAGCGCGGGCCAUCCACAGGAAGACCUUCUAGAUCCAGAGGGUCCCAAAACACCCCGAAAUACUGCAGGAGACCCCUACACUUCCGCUUAUCCACCCCCAGAGAAACAUGCAGGAACCUGUGUUUUUCCUUAUUUACCUGCUUCUUCAUUCCCCCUGCACACACACACUUACACUCUCACACACACACACACAC